UGGACAUGCAUUCCUGAUGAGAUGAAGCAG
RNAcentral lists this non-coding RNA (30 nucleotides) under Cricetulus griseus (Chinese hamster). Lineage: Eukaryota; Metazoa; Chordata; Mammalia; Rodentia; Cricetidae. The record is from RNAcentral.